AAGGAGUUAGUUUAAAAAAAACAAUUACUUGUCAAGUAGUAGUUACAAAAAACUGUGCACCUUG
RNAcentral lists this transfer RNA (64 nucleotides) under Ricania speculum. Its description in RNAcentral is "tRNA-Asp". Lineage: Eukaryota; Metazoa; Arthropoda; Insecta; Hemiptera; Ricaniidae. The record is from RNAcentral.